This is a transfer RNA of Ferroglobus placidus DSM 10642, 74 nucleotides long. It matches the Rfam family "tRNA". Rfam says of the family: Transfer RNA (tRNA) molecules are approximately 80 nucleotides in length. Their secondary structure includes four short double-helical elements and three loops (D, anti-codon, and T loops). Further hydrogen bonds mediate the characteristic L-shaped molecular structure. tRNAs have two regions of fundamental functional importance: the anti-codon, which is responsible for specific mRNA codon recognition, and the 3' end, to which the tRNAs corresponding amino acid is attached (by aminoacyl-tRNA synthetases). tRNAs cope with the degeneracy of the genetic code in two manners: having more than one tRNA (with a specific anti-codon) for a particular amino acid; and 'wobble' base-pairing, i.e. permitting non-standard base-pairing at the 3rd anti-codon position. NCBI's taxonomy places the organism in Archaea, Methanobacteriati, Methanobacteriota, Archaeoglobi, Archaeoglobales, Archaeoglobaceae. The record is from Rfam.
GGGCCGGUAGCUCAGCCUGGAAGAGCGCCGCCUUGGCAUGGCGGAGGCCUGGGGUUCAAAUCCCCACCGGUCCA